RNAcentral lists this unclassified non-coding RNA (251 nucleotides) under uncultured Talaromyces. RNAcentral describes it as "sequence contains ITS2". Lineage: Eukaryota; Fungi; Ascomycota; Eurotiomycetes; Eurotiales; Trichocomaceae. The record is from RNAcentral.
AACGCACAUUGCGCCCCCUGGCAUUCCGGGGGGCAUGCCUGUCCGAGCGUCAUUGCUAACCCUCAAGCUCGGCUUGUGUGUUGGGCCUCGUCCCCCUCGGGGACGGGCCUGAAAGGCAGCGGCGGCGUCGCGUCCGGUCCUCGAGCGUAUGGGGCUCUGUCACCCGCUCAGGAGGCCGGCCGGGGCUCGCCAUCAACCCACAUCAUAACAAGGUUGACCUCGGAUCAGGUAGGGAUACCCGCUGAACUUAA